This is a non-coding RNA of Brachypodium distachyon (stiff brome), 100 nucleotides long. NCBI's taxonomy places the organism in Eukaryota, Viridiplantae, Streptophyta, Magnoliopsida, Poales, Poaceae. The record is from RefSeq and is marked provisional.
AAACUAUACUCCCUCCGGUCCACAAUAAGUGUCUCGGAUUUAGUACUAAGUUAGUACAAAAUCUGAAACACUUCUUAUGGAUUGUAGGGAGUAGAAUCUU